GAUGAACGCUGGCGGCGUGCCUAAUACAUGCAAGUCGAGCGAACGGACGAGAAGCUUGCUUCUCUGAUGUUAGCGGCGGACGGGUGAGUAACACGUGGAUAACCUACCUAUAAGACUGGGAUAACUUCGGGAAACCGGAGCUAAUACCGGAUGAUAUUUUGAACCGCAUGGUUCAAAAGUGAAAGACGGUCUUGCUGUCACUUAUAGAUGGAUCCGCGCUGCAUUAGCUAGUUGGUAAGGUAACGGCUUACCAAGGCAACGAUGCAUAGCCGACCUGAGAGGGUGAUCGGCCACACUGGAACUGGGCCACGGUCCAUACUCCUACGGGAGGCAGCAGUAGGGAAUCUUCCGCAAUGGUCGAAAGCCUGACGGAGCAACGCCGCGUGAGUGAUGAAGGUCUUCGGAUCGUAAAACUCUGUUAUUAGGGAAGAACAUAUGUGUAAGUAACUGUGCACAUCUUGACGGUACCUAAUCAGAAAGCCACGGCUAACUACGUG
RNAcentral lists this ribosomal RNA (497 nucleotides) under uncultured bacterium. Its description in RNAcentral is "partial 16S ribosomal RNA". It matches the Rfam family "Bacterial small subunit ribosomal RNA", at positions 28 to 507 of the family's 1533-position model. The record is from RNAcentral.